UCCCAGGCUGCCCCUCUGAGGACCUCUGUCCCUGGGAGUAGCAAUACCUGUUUCGGGUGGCACGGAUGAUAGAGAUGGAGGGAGGCUAGAUGAAUGGUCAUGCUACCCAUACACAUAGAAAAGCUGGCUACAUGAAACAAUAACCACAGAGAAGCAGGAGGGACCACUCACCCUCAGACUUAAGUGUUCUCCAGGUGCCCUGGGCCUAUACUUGACAGGGGCCAAGGUCACCUGUGCUAUAAAACUUCCAGAGUACCUGGGCUAUAGAGCAUACUUGUUCCUAAUUCACUUUUUGCCUCAUGGCUGUGUAGGGUAGACUCAGCUCUGGGGCCUUGUACAUCCUUGUACAUUCCCUAGGAUUACCCAGCAGCCUAUUUGGGUCUUUGUGUUGCCCCACCCCUGCUCCCCACUGAGGCAGAGCACUGAAAAUGUGAACCAAACAGGUGAAUGCAAAUUGUGGGAGUGGGGUGAGGGACGUGCCACCACAUUUAGACUCUCUCUCUCAGCCUUGGCCUGCUAAAAGGAGGAGAAAACAGUGCCUGGAUGGUAGAAAAUAAGACAGUAGCUGCCCACAGAAACAAGCUGAAAGCUGGGGCACUAAGGGCUACCUAUCCUUCUUCUUCUUUUUUUUUUUUUUUUGAGACGGAGUCUCACUCAGUCGCCAGGCUGGAGUGCAGUGGCGUGAUCUCAGCUCACUGCAACCUCCGCCUCCUGGGGUUCAAGUGAUUCUCCUGCCUCAGCCUCCCGAGUAGCUGGGACUACAGGCACGCGCCACAACACCCAGCUAAUUUUUGUAUUUUAGUAGAGAUGGGGUUUCACCAUGUUGGCCAGGAUGGUCUCGAUCUCUUGACCUCGUGAUCCGCCCACCUCAGCCUCCCAAAAUGCUGGGAUUACAGGCGUGAGCCACCGCGCCUGGCCAGGGCUACCAAUCCUUUGGGGCUCAAAAGAUGGUUAUGUGUGUCACAGUGUACAUCUUGGGAAUGUGCUUCUAUUUUGUUUCCUUUUCAUUUGUUUAGUAUCAGCCUCUUCCAGGUAUCCUUUUUUAAAUACCUGUAUCAAGCAUGCUAUGUUAUUUAAUUUUCUCCCUGAAGAUUACCUAAGAAUAUCACCUGAGGAAGGUGCUAUUGGCCUAUUACAAAUACAGAAACUGAAGCUGAAAGGUUAAGCACCUUCCCCACGUUCAGACAGCUCAAUAGCGGAAGAGAUGGAAUAUAAGCCCUAUUCUUAUUUCACAAAGCUGCCUCCAUGCUGGGGCAGGUAACGUUAACCCUAGGAAACUGCCCAAAACCCACCAAAAGAGAGAAGCUCCUAGGGAACAGAGUUGAGAAUGUUCAUACCCUGCCCCUGCCAACUGCCGGUCUGCUUGGUUUUGUCACACUGGCAUUUCUGGCUUUGGAUGAAUCAAAGGUGGCUGUUACUAUGCUAUACUCCAUCCUUGGUACACAGAGCACCUCGCCAGGCCUCUCCCCCACCAUCACAUCCCCAGUUUCCAGAAAUCAUUCCCCUGGUCAUCUGCCUGGCUAUCCAUUCUCCACAAUCCCCAUGAAUGGAUGCUACCCAGGACACACAGUGAGCAUGAGCUGCUGUCUCCCCUUUCUUGCCACCACAACCCAGUUUGUUUCCUCUAUUCCAUGGAGACUGCCCUGGCCAGCUCAUCAGGCAUCUCUGAAUCACAAUGGCCACUUCCCAGAACUUGAUUGCCCUCUGAGCUGCUCAAUCUCUCUCCUCCCUUGGCUCUGUGACAAUGCUUUCUACAGGGGCCCUAUGCUUGCAGUGGAUGCCCCUUCAGGCUGCAGGCUCUUUAACUCUCAGGGCUUCCCAGGGCUCUACCUUCCCUUCCCUCUGAAUACUCUCCUGAGGUAACUUGCUGCUUCAGAUUCUCUCAGCCUCACCUGACUCCCACGUCUCCAGCUGCUUGCUCUGUGCUGACUAACUCCCACAGGCCGGUGACCACAUUCUGUUCCCCUUGCCAUUGCAGGACUUAGAUUAAAUGCCAUGCCGCAAGGCAUGGGAUCUGGCUUUCGCAGUGGCCAAGAAAUAUCAUCCCAGCAAGAAAGUGGGGAGCUAACACUGGCUCCAUGGCAAACUUUGAGCAGUAAAGCAUGGGCAGGAAGCAGAACAGGUGAAUUUCCCCUCCAUCAAUCCAAAUACAAUGUUCUAGCCAGUCAUGGUGUUUCUGUGUAGUCUAUCCAGAGACAUCCAACAUGGGCAAGUGACUAGCUGUCUUUGUGAGGCAGGAGCCAACUCACUAACACCAACCUUUGAUUUUCUUUUCCUCCUUUCCCUCACUCUCGCUGCUCUGAGACUUCACCCUCCAAUAAAGUGCUAACACUAGCUUUGCCUCAGAUUCGGUUUUCUUAGUAACUUGAAUACAGACAGUAACCUCACCCAAACCAUGCCUUCAACCACCAUUGAUACACUCCCAACUCACUCCCCAAACUUUUCCUAU
Molecule: long non-coding RNA, 2449 nt
Filed under: Homo sapiens (human)
Lineage: Eukaryota; Metazoa; Chordata; Mammalia; Primates; Hominidae
Description: non-protein coding lnc-WDR54-2:1
Source: RNAcentral